AAACGGGCUGUCCGCGCCAGCGCGGGUCCCUCUUUGAAGGAUCGCAGGACCCGAAUCUGAGCCCGGCUGACCCGGACCUGCCCGCCUCGCCCUCCCACGUCAGGAGUCCGGAAAAGUCUCCGCGACUCGGGAUUCGAAGUGAGGCACAAUGAAAGUUCGAGGGUGGCCCACUUUCCAGUCCGUCUCCCGUCUCUCUCAGGCAGAAGCAUCCUCUGUCAAUAAACAUCCAUUAACGUUCCUGUGGGUGAAGAAAAUAUUAUUCUUUGGUCUCUGCUACUUCUGGCACCAACAUAGAGUCACUGAGACACCUCACUUGCUUCUGGACCUGCAAAUGCAAUCCGGGGACAUUUAACAAAAAAGCCAGCAAAAGGUAAAAAUAAUUCCACAAUCAGCUCUCCAGGAUUUCUCUCUGUAGUGUUUUUUAGUUUAAAUGAUAAAAUAUUUUUCCUCGUCCCUGUGUUUAUAAAUUCGUAUUCGCAUCAAGAGUGUUGGCACACACCUGUAAGCCCAGCACUUGAGAGGCUGAGACAGGACUGCUAUGAAUUUGAGGCCUAGCACACACUCUACCAGUGAACUACACCCCCAGCAAAGAAAUCCCAGUUGCCACAUGCACCAUCAAGGAAGUUUAAGAAUAGAUUCCUUUUGCAAAAACAGAGAAAAAAAGACCCC
Molecule: long non-coding RNA, 669 nt
Filed under: Fukomys damarensis (Damara mole-rat)
Lineage: Eukaryota; Metazoa; Chordata; Mammalia; Rodentia; Bathyergidae
Description: lncRNA (ENSFDAG00000025162.1)
Source: RNAcentral